UGGGGAAUAUUGGACAAUGGGCGAAAGCCUGAUCCAGCCAUGCCGCGUGUGUGAAGAAGGUCUUCGGAUUGUAAAGCACUUUAAGUUGGGAGGAAGGGCAGUUACCUAAUACGUGAUUGUUUUGACGUUACCGACAGAAUAAGCACCGGCUAACUCUGUGCCAGCAGCCGCGGUAAUACAGAGGGUGCAAGCGUUAAUCGGAAUUACUGGGCGUAAAGCGCGCGUAGGUGGUUUGUUAAGUUGGAUGUGAAAGCCCCGGGCUCAACCUGGGAACUGCAUCCAAAACUGGCAAGCUAGAGUAUGGUAGAGGGUGGUGGAAUUUCCUGUGUAGCGGUGAAAUGCGUAGAUAUAGGAAGGAACACCAGUGGCGAAGGCGACCACCUGGACUGAUACUGACACUGAGGUGCGAAAGCGUGGGGAGCAAACAGGAUUAGAUACCCCCGUAGUCC
This 449-nucleotide ribosomal RNA is filed under the name uncultured prokaryote. Its description in RNAcentral is "bacterial SSU rRNA". It matches the Rfam family "Bacterial small subunit ribosomal RNA", at positions 355 to 796 of the family's 1533-position model. The record is from RNAcentral.